GAGGUAACGGCUCACCAAGGCGAUGACGCGUAACUGGUCUGAGAGGACGGCCAGUCACAUCGGGACUGAGACACUGCCCGGACUCCUACGGGGGGCUGCAGUAACGAAUCUUCCCCAAUGCACGCAAGUGUGAGGGAGCGACGCCGCGUGUAGGACGAAGUCCUUCGGGAUGUAAACUACUGUCAGGGGAUACCAAGUUCUGAGGAUCCCCAGAGGAAGAGGCGGCUAACUCUGUGCCAGCAGCCG
Molecule: ribosomal RNA, 246 nt
Filed under: Pycnococcus provasolii
Lineage: Eukaryota; Viridiplantae; Chlorophyta; Pseudoscourfieldiophyceae; Pseudoscourfieldiales; Pycnococcaceae
Description: partial Bacterial small subunit ribosomal RNA
Rfam family: Bacterial small subunit ribosomal RNA
Source: RNAcentral